Molecule: ribosomal RNA, 440 nt
Filed under: uncultured bacterium
Lineage: Bacteria
Description: partial 16S ribosomal RNA
Rfam family: Bacterial small subunit ribosomal RNA
Source: RNAcentral
CCUACGGGGGGCAGCAGUGGGGGAUAUUGCACAAUGGGGGAAACCCUGAUGCAGCGACGUCGCGUGGGUGAAGAAGCGCCUCGGCGCGUAAAGCCCUGUCAGCAGGGAAGAAAAUGACGGUACCUGAAGAAGAAGCCCCGGCUAACUACGUGCCAGCAGCCGCGGUAAUACGUAGGGGGCAAGCGUUAUCCGGAUUUACUGGGUGUAAAGGGGGCGCAGACGGCGAUGCAAGCCAGGAGUGAAAGCCCGGGGCCCAACCCCGGGACUGCUCUUGGAACUGCGUGGCUAGAGUGCAGGAGGGGCAGGCGGAAUGCCUGGGGUAGCGGGGAAAUGCGUAGAUAUCAGGAGGAACACCGGUGGCGAAGGCGGCCUGCUGGACUGCAACUGACGUUGAGGCCCGAAAGCGUGGGGAGCAAACAGGAUUAGAUACCCGAGUAGUC